This 253-nucleotide ribosomal RNA is filed under the name uncultured prokaryote. RNAcentral describes it as "partial 16S ribosomal RNA". It matches the Rfam family "Bacterial small subunit ribosomal RNA", at positions 525 to 777 of the family's 1533-position model. The record is from RNAcentral.
ACGGGGGGUGCGAGCGUUGUCCGGAAUCACUGGGCGUAAAGGGCGCGUAGGUGGUUUGAUAAGGGUGUGGUGAAAUCCCCGGGCUCAACCUGGGAACUGCCUUUGUGACUGCAAGGCUGGAGUGCGGCAGAGGGGGAUGGAAUUCCGCGUGUAGCAGUGAAAUGCGUAGAUAUGCGGAGGAACACCGAUGGCGAAGGCAAUCCCCUGGGCCUGCACUGACGCUCAUGCACGAAAGCGUGGGGAGCAAACAGGA